AGAGUUUGAUCAUGGCUCAGAUUGAACGCUGGCGGCAUGCCUUACACAUGCAAGUCGAACGGCAGCACGGGAGCAAUCCUGGUGGCGAGUGGCGAACGGGUGAGUAACGCAUCGGAACGUGCCCAGUAGUGGGGGAUAGCCCGGCGAAAGCCGGAUUAAUACCGCAUACGACCUAAGGGUGAAAGCGGGGGAUCGCAAGACCUCGCGCUAUUGGAGCGGCCGAUGUCAGAUUAGGUAGUUGGUGGGGUAAAGGCCUACCAAGCCGACGAUCUGUAGCUGGUCUGAGAGGACGACCAGCCACACUGGGACUGAGACACGGCCCAGACUCCUACGGGAGGCAGCAGUGGGGAAUUUUGGACAAUGGGCGCAAGCCUGAUCCAGCCAUGCCGCGUGCAGGAAGAAGGCCUUCGGGUUGUAAACUGCUUUUGUCAGAGAAGAAAUCCUUUGGGUUAAUACCUCGGAGGGAUGACGGUACCUGAAGAAUAAGCACCGGCUAACUACGUGCCAGCAGCCGCGGUAAUACGUAGGGUGCGAGCGUUAAUCGGAAUUACUGGGCGUAAAGCGUGCGCAGGCGGUUAUGCAAGACAGAUGUGAAAUCCCCGGGCUCAACCUGGGAACUGCAUUUGUGACUGCAUGACUAGAGUACGGCAGAGGGAGAUGGAAUUCCGCGUGUAGCAGUGAAAUGCGUAGAUAUGCGGAGGAACACCGAUGGCGAAGGCAAUCUCCUGGGCCUGUACUGACGCUCAUGCACGAAAGCGUGGGGGAGCAAACAGGAUUAGAUACCCUGGUAGUCCACGCCCUAAACGAUGUCAACUGGUUGUUGGGACGGCUUGCUGUUCAGUAACGAAGCUAACGCGUGAAGUUGACCGCCUGGGGAGUACGGCCGCAAGGUUGAAACUCAAAUGAAUUGACGG
This 914-nucleotide ribosomal RNA is filed under the name uncultured bacterium. RNAcentral describes it as "bacterial SSU rRNA". It matches the Rfam family "Bacterial small subunit ribosomal RNA", at positions 8 to 916 of the family's 1533-position model. The record is from RNAcentral.